RNAcentral lists this ribosomal RNA (253 nucleotides) under uncultured bacterium. RNAcentral describes it as "partial 16S ribosomal RNA". It matches the Rfam family "Bacterial small subunit ribosomal RNA", at positions 524 to 776 of the family's 1533-position model. The record is from RNAcentral.
UACGUAGGGUGCGAGCGUUGUCCGGAAUCAUUGGGCGUAAAGGGCUCGUAGGCGGUCUGUCGCGUCGGGAGUGAAAACUCAGGGCUUAACCCUGAGCCUGCUUCCGAUACGGGCAGACUAGAGGUAUGCAGGGGAGAACGGAAUUCCUGGUGUAGCGGUGGAAUGCGCAGAUAUCAGGAGGAACACCGGUGGCGAAGGCGGUUCUCUGGGCAUUACCUGACGCUGAGGAGCGAAAGUGUGGGGAGCGAACAGG